RNAcentral lists this small RNA (29 nucleotides) under Bombyx mori (domestic silkworm). RNAcentral describes it as "ovarian small RNA-27047". The record is from RNAcentral. Lineage: Eukaryota; Metazoa; Arthropoda; Insecta; Lepidoptera; Bombycidae.
UCCAUGUGUAUAGUCGGUGUUUGUGAUGC